CAACAUAAAAGGAGAAGAGAGAAGAGAGAAGAGAAAAAGCAUACAGUACCUCUUCAUUCUUCGACCUGCAACCCCAACUCCCAUCCCGGCCGCGACAUCCGGGUAGAGUGUCGGUUAGUAUCGACGAAACGACGACAGAUUGAAGAUCAACUCACCCAGUAUCGAAGUCUCUGCUGACAUCGACAACCCAACCCAAAGGUUAUCUCGAAAAGGUUAUCUUGUUUGCAGAUCCUGUUUUAGACCGGAAUAGUUGUGUCAUCGUAGCAAUGUUCAGUUGUUGGCUGGUUUCCAUGAAAUUAAGUUAUCAAGAGCAAGAUUGGACUUACAUCACGGUACAUGGUCCUUCAGAUAUCAUAUUUCAUAAGAGCCAACUCUCCUAUGUUACCUUGAUGGAAGCAUUAGGUCAUGGUCAAUUGAUGAUGCUUAUAACAGAUUCUCUGCACCAUUACCAGAUCAGUCUGGGUUCACAUAUCUGGGAGAAAGCAUUCAGGGCUUGUGGAAUCAACAACAGGAGACCUAUGGCAUGUCCUAAGGUCCAGGAGCCAAAAGCAGUUGAAAGCUGAUUCCCAAAGAUUCAAGGUUUUCAAGGUGGAGUUGAUUGAAACAGGACUAGGUGAUUUACUUAUGCAGCAGGUUGAGGUAAAAAGUAUUGGGGACGAUGCUCUUUUCAUAGGCUACAAUUCAGUAUCUGUUUUGGCUUCACAAACUUCAGGGUGUCAGCCAAAUUCCAUAUACUAUUCCAUUGUGUGUGCUGUGGGCAUGUUCAAUUUAGACGAUGAAACAAGUUCUCAUAUUACUUGGCCCUACGAUUCUAAACCUACGUUUUGUGUUACCCCACCGUUCGACUCAGCUAGCUAGCUUACUAUGUGCACGAGGCAUCCCUUCACUUUGUGAUUUGAGGCUAUUACAGAUCACCAUUUUUCACAUUGGACAAUACUACCCUGCUCUCUAUCUCCGGUUAAUGUUCCAACAUAAUGUAAGAGAGGAGGGUAGUAUCACUAGUAUGUAACUCUCUGCACUAGUCAGGCACUGCUUCCUGUUUUAUCAUUCUAGAUGUUUUAUCAUUGCUUCCUGAAUACUUUUAUGAUUAUUCAAUCUU
This is an RNA transcript of Fragaria vesca subsp. vesca, 1099 nucleotides long. RefSeq lists it as uncharacterized. The transcript has 2 exons. Lineage: Eukaryota; Viridiplantae; Streptophyta; Magnoliopsida; Rosales; Rosaceae. The record is from RefSeq and is a predicted model, not a curated record.